AAAGAUAAGAUUCUCCAACAAACUCUAUCCAAGAAAAGCACUAUUCAAGAUAAGAUCAAAGACAAAGCUUGGAUUUAUGUGAGAAAUCAAGGAACCAUCCAUUGAAGAUCCAAGGGUGGACAUUGAGUGACCAAGGCUAUAAAUAGAAGGGUAAUCCCCUCAUUUUCACUCACCACACAACAAGCAAACUCAAGAGUUUUUCACUCCACAUUUGAGCUCUCCCACGUUUUUGCCUCCAAGCUUUCAAGCUUCCAAGUGCUCAAGUGUCUUAGCUUUCCAAAGCUUCAAAAGCUCUUCAACUUCUUCUUCUAAUCUUCUUGUUCAUCUAUACAAGUAAGAAGUGUUGUUUGCUUUAAUAUUCCACUCCUCUAAUCACUUUGGUUGAGAGGGUUGUCUCAAUAUCACUAAAGUAUGAGAGAAGGUUUUUGAGCUUAACCAUAAAGCUCUUGUUUGGUUUUAUAGAUUUUCCGGGAAAACUCUUAGGUCAAAUCUACCUUGAAAGAUUUAAAGGUUUUUAAGAGUUCCUUAAUAGUCUAAGGUCCUAACUUACCCGUAAAAGUUAGAGGUUCUUAAGAGUGCCCUUGAUACUCUAAGGUGUGAGUCUACUCGUAAAAGACUGGUUCCUAAGCGAAGUAGCCUUAAAGCUUAGAGAGGUUUUGAAAAGUUCCUUGAUACUCUAAGGUACUAACUUACCCGUAAAAGUUAGAGGUUCUUAAGAGUGCCUUUGAUACUCUAAGGUGUGAGUCUACCCAUAAAAGACUGGUUCCUAAGCGAAGUAGCCUUAAAGCUUAGAGAGGUUCUUAAGAGUUUCCUUGAUACUCUAAGGUUUUGCCAUAACCUUUAGGCUAGUGAAUUCCGAUAGUAGGUCGAGACUGGAUUAGCCCUUGUUUGGGUGAACCAGUAUAAAUCUCUUGUGUUGUUCUUUGUUAACUUUAGUUUUAUAUUUCUUAUAAAAACAACUAAACAACACCAAAUUGAAAAAGAUCCAUCUUCCAGUUAUCUGGUCAAAUAUAGAAGUUGACUAUUUUAAAGCUUCUACUUAUCAAAUAUAUACAUCCAGUUAUCUGGUCAUUUACUUACUUAUCAAUAUAUCCAGCUAUCUGGUCAUUUACUAGCUUAUCAAUAUAUCCAGUUAUCUGGUCAUUUACUUGCUUAUCAAUAUAUCCAGUUAUCUGGUCAUUUACUCUAUAAUACAAUUUAUGUUUACAAUAUAACUUAGUACUCAUAUAGUACAGUUGUUUGUAAAACACUAUCAAGCAAGUUGACUCAGUAUUCAUAUACUGUAGUAAGCUUCGAAAAGUAAUUAUUACGUUAUUAUAUCAUUCAGAGUUAUAAUAUCUCUAUGUCAUUAUUGUUCAACCAUUUGUUUAUUAAGUGCUUACAGGUAAUUCCGCAAUUAACCUGUAUAAAUCGAAAAGAGACUAUUAUCCCCCCUUAUAGCCUCGGAUCACGAUCCAACAGUUUUUGCCAAAAAACUUUUCAAGAAAUUUUUAUGGGCUAUCCAAGAGGUAUUAAAGGAUACCUCAUAUUAAAGGAUAUAUCGGGCUACCCUUUACUUUCUAAUUU
RNAcentral lists this long non-coding RNA (1566 nucleotides) under Zostera marina. RNAcentral describes it as "long non-coding RNA (ZMAR_LNC003865)". Lineage: Eukaryota; Viridiplantae; Streptophyta; Magnoliopsida; Alismatales; Zosteraceae. The record is from RNAcentral.